CGUUUGGGACUCUUGAAGUCUUAGUGGCGCAGCUAACGCACUAAGUAGACCGCCUGGGGAGUACGGCCGCAAGGUUAAAACUCAAAUGAAUUGACGGGGGCCCGCACAAGCGGUGGAGCAUGUGGUUUAAUUCGACGCAACGCGAAGAACCUUACCUGGCCUUGACAUGCAGAGAACUUUCCAGAGAUGGAUUGGUGCCUUCGGGAACUCUGACACAGGUGCUGCAUGGCCGUCGUCAGCUCGUGUCGUGAGAUGUUGGGUUAAGUCCCGUAACGAGCGCAACCCCUAUCCCUAGUUGCUAGCAGUUCGGCUGAGAACUCUAGGGAGACUGCCGGUGACAAACCGGAGGAAGGUGGGGAUGACGUCAGGUCAUCUUGGCCCUUACGGCCAGGGCUACACACGUGCUACAAUGGUGCGUACAGAGGGCUGCAAACCCGCGAGGGGGAGCUAAUCUCACAAAACGCAUCGUAGUCCGGAUCGGAGUCUGCAACUCGACUCCGUGAAGUCGGAAUCGCUAGUAAUCGCGAAUCAGAAUGUCGCGGUGAAUACGUUCCCGGGCCUUGUACACACCGCCCGUCACACCAUGGGAGUGGAUUGCACCAGAAGUGGUUAGUCUAACCUUCGGGAGGACG
RNAcentral lists this ribosomal RNA (632 nucleotides) under uncultured bacterium. RNAcentral describes it as "bacterial SSU rRNA". It matches the Rfam family "Bacterial small subunit ribosomal RNA", at positions 820 to 1452 of the family's 1533-position model. The record is from RNAcentral.